AUACCUUUCUCGGCCUUUUGGCUAAGAUCAAGUGUAGUAUCUGUUCUUAUCAGUUUAAUAUCUGAUACGUGGGCCAUCGGUCCACAUGAUAUUAAAUUUAUUUUUUUAGGGGGAAGAUCUAUCUAAGUAGCUUGCUACUGGGUUCUUCAGGCGUCGCCCAGGCGUUGCACUAUUGCUCAGGCCUGGCGCACCCCAC
This 196-nucleotide small nuclear RNA is filed under the name Nelumbo nucifera (sacred lotus). RNAcentral's name for it is "U2 spliceosomal RNA". It matches the Rfam family "U2 spliceosomal RNA". Rfam says of the family: U2 is a small nuclear RNA (snRNA) component of the spliceosome (involved in pre-mRNA splicing). Complementary binding between U2 snRNA (in an area lying towards the 5' end but 3' to hairpin I) and the branchpoint sequence (BPS) of the intron results the bulging out of an unpaired adenosine, on the BPS, which initiates a nucleophilic attack at the intronic 5' splice site, thus starting the first of two transesterification reactions that mediate splicing. Lineage: Eukaryota; Viridiplantae; Streptophyta; Magnoliopsida; Proteales; Nelumbonaceae. The record is from Rfam by way of RNAcentral.